RNAcentral lists this ribosomal RNA (519 nucleotides) under uncultured bacterium. Its description in RNAcentral is "bacterial SSU rRNA". It matches the Rfam family "Bacterial small subunit ribosomal RNA", at positions 10 to 518 of the family's 1533-position model. The record is from RNAcentral.
AAUUUGAUCUUGGUUCAGGAUGAACGCUAGCUACAGGCUUAACACAUGCAAGUCGAGGGGCAGCAUGAUCAAAGCUUGCUUUGAUUGAUGGCGACCGGCGCACGGGUGAGUAACGCGUAUCCAACCUUCCCUAUAGUAGUGGAUAGCCCGGCGAAAGUCGGAUUAAUACACUAUGUUAUUCAACGAGGACAUCUGAAAUGAAUCAAAGGCUUGCCGCUAUAGGAUGGGGAUGCGUCUGAUUAGAUAGUAGGCGGGGUAACGGCCCACCUAGUCGACGAUCAGUAGGGGUUCUGAGAGGAAGGUCCCCCACAUUGGAACUGAGACACGGUCCAAACUCCUACGGGAGGCAGCAGUGAGGAAUAUUGGUCAAUGGACGGGAGUCUGAACCAGCCAAGUAGCGUGCAGGAUGACGGCCCUAUGGGUUGUAAACUGCUUUUAUACGGGGAUAAAGUGAGCCACGUGUGGCUUUUUGUAGGUACCGUAUGAAUAAGGACCGGCUAAUUCCGUGCCAGCAGCUGC